CUCUCCGCGGCUCCCACCCGUGCAAGCCGCGGGUUGUGGUGUGGGCAGUUCGGCGGCGGGGAGCCCCGAAUCAGGUAUCUCCAGACUCAGCAUCCCCUUCUGGAUAUGAGGAUGGUUGUCUGCUGCCGGCACGAUCCGGUGGUUGGGCGUAAUGCCCAGAAUCAAGGCUUCAGGUAUGGGAGCUCUCGCCAUGUGCAUCUGGCUCGCUCGGCUGGCAAGCUCCGCCCCUUAUAAUCAGUUUUUACUGUUUUUUGUUUACUUUUGGCAUCUAAUUUGCUCUUACAGCAGUUUUACUUUUUAUUAUUAUCCCUUUUAGUAUAUCUUUAAUUGCUUGUCAGCAAUUAAGCUGCGUUUAAAUUUGUGUCUCUUUUAGUGAUUAUGCAACCUUAUGGGAGCACUACAUGCUCCAUAAUGCUUUGCGGCUCUACCUCCGAAACCGGAAGUACC
Pelobates cultripes (western spadefoot toad) is the source of this 447-nucleotide non-coding RNA. NCBI's taxonomy places the organism in Eukaryota, Metazoa, Chordata, Amphibia, Anura, Pelobatidae. The record is from the annotation of a GenBank genome assembly.